UACGUAGGGUGCAAGCGUUAAUCGGAAUUACUGGGCGUAAAGCGUGCGCAGGCGGUGAUGUAAGACAGGUGUGAAAUCCCCGGGCUUAACCUGGGACCUGCAUUUGUGACUGCAUCGCUGGAGUGCGGCAGAGGGGGAUGGAAUUCCGCGUGUAGCAGUGAAAUGCGUAGAUAUGCGGAGGAACACCGAUGGCGAAGGCAAUCCCCUGGGCCUGCACUGACGCUCAUGCACGAAAGCGUGGGGAGCAAACAGG
Molecule: ribosomal RNA, 253 nt
Filed under: uncultured bacterium
Lineage: Bacteria
Description: partial 16S ribosomal RNA
Rfam family: Bacterial small subunit ribosomal RNA
Source: RNAcentral